GACGAACGCUGGCGGCGUGCUUAACACAUGCAAGUCGAGCGGGGUCCAACCACUGGCAACAGUGGGGAAGACCUAGCGGCGAACGGGUGAGUAACACGUGAGGAACCUGCCCCAAAGACCGGGAUAACCCUCCGAAAGGAGAGCUAAUACCGGAUGCCCUCAUCGGAUCGCAUGGUCUGAUGAGGAAAUGGAUUCCGCUUUGGGAGGGCCUCGCGGCCUAUCAGCUUGUUGGUGAGGAACGGCUCACCAAGGCAUCGACGGGUAGCUGGUCUGAGAGGACGACCAGCCACACUGGAACUGAGACACGGUCCAGACACCUACGGGUGGCAGCAGUCGAGAAUUUUUCACAAUGGGCGAAAGCCUGAUGGAGCGACGCCGCGUGGGGGAUGAAUGGCUUCGGCCCGUAAACCCCU
RNAcentral lists this ribosomal RNA (413 nucleotides) under uncultured bacterium. RNAcentral describes it as "bacterial SSU rRNA". It matches the Rfam family "Bacterial small subunit ribosomal RNA", at positions 28 to 434 of the family's 1533-position model. The record is from RNAcentral.